UUCUCUAAAUGCAGCAUGGAAGGUGAUUGCAUUAUUGACGCUGCCUACUCUGCACGGGGCAAACAAGCAAAAUUCAGCAGAAAGCUUGCCUUGUCAUCACAAGUUCUCAGAAUGUGAUCCCAGUGAGGUUCCACCACCUUCCACAGCUGAGUGGAAGCCCAUAUGUUAUUGAAAAGAGAAAAAGAAAAGAAGAAGAUUAAUUCAGUUGUCAAGUAUGUUUAUCACUGUGGCUCGUCACAUUCCAUUCCGAUGGCGUGAUGAAGGCACAGAUUGUUGUCUUAGUUGCGCAACCUGAAGAGUUUGCUGGAUUUAUGGGUAGAUCAUGGACAGAUCUAGAGUUCAAGGUAAAAGUAGAGGAAUAUUUAAAUCUCUAGCAGUCUGGCUGUUUCCUUUUGCGAGAAGCCACAACUGGGAGAGAUGAGCAGUUCUGAGGCUGCAUUUGCAGUUCUAUGCCUAUUGGUGUAGAGGAUGAAUGAUUUUAGCUUGAUGUAUCAUAUAAGCCUACCUUUGUUCUGACAACAUUUGUGAGCUUGAUUUACAAAUUUUACAGGCUACACAGACAUGGAUGAGGCAUCAUUUUUAUAAUUACUAAAUUUUCGUUCUCAUGGAUAAAGGGUACAGCAAUUGGAGAGUACACUCACUAGUAAAGAACUUAGAGGUAAUCUAUUUAUGAAGCUUAUUUGAAUAUGAAGCACUUUUAUUCAUGGUAAAUUGUCUUCCACAAGUUUUGUAUAAAUAGAAUUAUAAAUUAACACAGGAUGCUAUAAAUAUUAGAUAAGUUACAAAUAGAAAUGCAAAUGCAGUGUCAAAAAUUUUUAAUGGAAGAAUACCUACUUGGGAUUAUUCUACUAAGAUUGUCUUUUAAAUUUUAAACUAUUGAAAUGUUUGCCGAAGUAUUUUCCUUUGUUUCACUUUAAAAUACAAUAUAAUUUCUAAUAUUUAGUAAAUAAAUUUUCUAAGAAAGUGAAAGCUGCUAUAUUAUACUUUAUUGAUAAGAUAAAAUAUAAUGCAUAAAUUAUUAAUGAGUUGUAUCUAGUAUAGCUAUGUGCAGAUAUGAGACUAUACAUUGUAAAUAACAAUGUGCGCAUGUGUAUAUAUGUAUUGCAACAGACGUAUUAUAUGCUGUAAUUAUUGAAAUUGUAUAUUUAUAUGCAAAUUAUAUGUGAUAAAUAUACAAAUACAGAUAUUCGGUGAGCAAAUUUACAAUCAAGUCAGUUUUCCAGGGUUGAAUAGCCAGGUCACAAAAGAAAAAGUCACUCCAGUUACUCUCAAAAGAUUUCUAAUAGUGGCUUUAUUUGUAAUACCAUCACCAGAUAUAAUUCAGAGCCUUUGCCCAUCCUAGAAAUAGAAACAUUAACAUGACUUUUCAAAGUAUUGCCAUGUGAUUAAAAGAAUCAUAUGGAUAAUCAACUGACCUGUUGUUUUUGGCUAUCGUAGCCACCUAACAGUGUGAAAGUUUCAAGUGAUUACAAACAAAUUUAUGAAAUAGUUUAGACAUAUCCUCAAAACUGGUCAAUUUAGAAACCAUAAGUAGAAAAUACCUUUUAGCUAGAUAUAGUAGAUUAUAUGAGUCAGUAUUUUUACAAACAGCAUGCUGGCAUCUCUGGUCCAAGGGGACCUACUAUGCCAUGUUGUCAAAUUAUGCAUUAGCUCUUGAAUUCUCAUGAGUGCAUAAGUAUCAUAAGGUUUUCUAGCAUGUGCAUGAAUGCCUUAAGUAAUGGACUGCCAACUGCUUUCUGAGGGAAACUACUGCAUUUUAAAAGAGAUUUAAUUUUAGAGAAUAAAAAAUUUUGAAUACCCAAGUAUUUCUUUCUGUGAAUUCCUUCCACUGGUACUCUGUAUAUUUUUAACAUCGUACAGUGGUAAACAUUAUGACUACAUACAAUUAAUUAACUGAUAUUUUUCAGUAUAAUAUGCACAUUUGACUUUAAUUGGGAAUGUUAUUGACUGUUGCCUUAACUGUGUCAAACUUAUCCUCAUGUGAUAUAUCUGCUUAUGUUUGUGAGGAAAAACUUGUAUGCUAUGAAAAGUGACUUUCUCCUGAUGUUAA
Homo sapiens (human) is the source of this 2050-nucleotide long non-coding RNA. The record is from Ensembl. NCBI's taxonomy places the organism in Eukaryota, Metazoa, Chordata, Mammalia, Primates, Hominidae.